Molecule: regulatory RNA element, 64 nt
Organism: Clunio marinus
Lineage: Eukaryota; Metazoa; Arthropoda; Insecta; Diptera; Chironomidae
Rfam family: Selenocysteine insertion sequence 1
About the family: The incorporation of selenocysteine into a protein sequence is directed by an in-frame UGA codon (usually a stop codon) within the coding region of the mRNA.
Source: Rfam
UGCAAUUUAUGAUGAGAUUAGAGUAAAGCUCAUUGAGACCUCUAAUCUCUGAUGAUUUCUUGUA